GACGAACGCUGGCGGCGUGCUUAACACAUGCGAGUCGAACGGAAAGGCCCUGCUUUUGUGGGGUGCUCGAGUGGCGAACGGGUGAGUAACACGUGAGUAACCUGCCCUUGACUUUGGGAUAACUUCAGGAAACUGGGGCUAAUACCGGAUAGGAGCUCCUGCUGCAUGGUGGGGGUUGGAAAGUUUCGGCGGUUGGGGAUGGACUCGCGGCUUAUCAGCUUGUUGGUGGGGUAGUGGCUUACCAAGGCUUUGACGGGUAGCCGGCCUGGGAGGGUGACCGGCCACAUUGGGACUGGGAUACGGCCCAGACUCCUCCGGGAGGCAGCAGUGGGGAAUAUUGCACAAUGGGCGGAAGCCUGAUGCAGCAACGCCGCGUGCGGGAUGACGGCCUUCGGGUUGUAACCCGCUUUCGCCUGUGACGAAGCGUGAGUGACGGUAAUGGGUAAAGAAGCACCGGCUAACUACGUG
This 468-nucleotide ribosomal RNA is filed under the name uncultured bacterium. RNAcentral describes it as "partial 16S ribosomal RNA". It matches the Rfam family "Bacterial small subunit ribosomal RNA", at positions 28 to 507 of the family's 1533-position model. The record is from RNAcentral.